AUACGGAGGGGGUUAGCGUUGUUCGGAAUUACUGGGCGUAAAGCGUACGUAGGCGGAUUGGUAAGUUAGAGGUGAAAUCCCGGGGCUCAACCCCGGAACUGCCUUUAAUACUGCCAGUCUUGAGUUCGAGAGAGGUGAGUGGAAUUCCGAGUGUAGAGGUGAAAUUCGUAGAUAUUCGGAGGAACACCAGUGGCGAAGGCGGCUCACUGGCUCGAUACUGACGCUGAGGUACGAAAGUGUGGGGAGCAAACAGGAUUAGAAACCCUAGUAGUCC
RNAcentral lists this ribosomal RNA (274 nucleotides) under uncultured bacterium. RNAcentral's name for it is "partial 16S ribosomal RNA". It matches the Rfam family "Bacterial small subunit ribosomal RNA", at positions 523 to 796 of the family's 1533-position model. The record is from RNAcentral.